CACACUGAGCUUCCCCGGGGGGUCAGGCCCUGUGCUAGUGCAGUGGUCCCCCAUUAUCCGCGGUUUCCCUUUCCGCGGUUUCAGUUACCCAAGGUCAACUGCGGUCCAAAAAUAAUGCUACGUCCUCACCCCACGUCAUCUCCUCACGUAGGCAUGUCGUCUCCCGUCACGUGGGUGAGGGCAGUACCCAGGGAUGUUCUGAGACCACAUGCAUAUAACUAAGUACAGCGUCUUGUUAUAAUUGUUCUGUUUUAUUGUUAAUCUCUUACUGAGCCUAAUUUAUAAAUUAAACUUUAUCAAGGUAGGUAGCUAUAGAAAGAAACAUGGUCUCCGUAGGGUUCAGUACUAUCUGUGGUUUCAGGCGUCCACUGGGGGUCUUGGAAGGUGCCCGCCGUGGAUCAGGGGGGGCUCCUGUACAACAAGCAGCGCUGGCCGUGGUUACCAGGAGCCAGGCCUCGGCUCAGUGGAGGAAAGAACUCUCUCCCCGUAGGAUCUGUUUUUGGGUGGCCUGAGGUCUCCCCAGGGCCAUGAGGGGAGCAGGCCCGGUGGAGCUGCCUGCCCGGGUCAUGAGCCGUGGGGGGCGGGGUUCUGAUGUCAGGGAAGCCGAAGUUUCCAUCCUCUCCAGGUCCCCUCGACCUCAGAGGGCUUGAAGCCCCAAGUUCGAGCCGUUGACCUCCCUUUGGCUGUGCAGGUGGCUCUGGUGAGGGGCUCCCCGUUCAUCCGGGGCUUGGAGAGCUCCCCGCCUGUGCCGCUGUGAGCCGGUCAGUCCUUAGAAAGGUCCUCCUUGUUCUGAGGUAACAUCUGCUGCCUCCAGACACCAUACACGCUCUGCAGAUGUUCACAGAUGGCUCUCACAGCCUUUCCCACUCUCCUCGUCCUUGAGCCACCUCCUCCCAGAAGCCUUCCCUGACCCCCUCUUCCCACCCUGGGACUUAAUCAUUUCUCCAUCUGGGCUCCCAUGACACUGUGUGUUUGCUUCUUUUAAACACUGAACACAUUGUAACCUGGUUAUGUCUGUCCCCCCAACCAGACCCUGAGCCUUCUGAGUGAGAAGUGUGCCAGUAAUUUCUGUUUCUUUUUUUGUUGUUGAAGAUUAGCCCUGAUCUAACAUCUGUGCCAUUCUUCCUCCAUUUUACAUGUGGGUCACUGCCACAGCAUGGCUGAUGAGUGGUGUAUGUCCACGCCUAGGAUCUGAACCUGCAAAACCGGGCUGCCGAAGGAGUGUGGCCCUGCUGAGACCUUCCCUGUCCAGUGAACUUCGGCCUCCCCUUCCACGCUGGUCACCGUGAUUGACACAUAACAAAAGAGGAUGGUGACGCACACUGGGAUGGGCCCCCGUUGGCCAGGACACUGUCUUCCCUGAGUUCUGCCUACUCCCUGCCUAGCAGUUGAAGCCAGGACUUAAGUCAGACACUGCCUAGUGUGAACACUGGUUUGACCCUCAGUGUUUAAAAACAAUCUGACGUGAAAGACCUCAAUGGCGCCCACAGGGGUCUGUGUCAGCACACCUGGACCAGGCCAGAGCAACGGCCCCCACCAGCGUCUCAGUCUCCGGAGAGGUCCUUCCUCUCACCAGGAUGCCCCCAGAGCCCACCAGCCUUGAACACAGAUGAGAUGCCUGGAACGCUGUCUUGCAACCAUGAGGUGACUUUCUUGAGGGCGAGAGGCCAACAUUCUUACUAGAAUGGUGAAGUGGAAGGUGGAAGGAGCCUGGAUCCUCGAAGACACCAUUGGGCCACCACACCAGUUCCAGAACACCACCUCCCGGCCUCGUGUUAAAUGAGAAAAACAACCUCCGUCUAUUUAAGCCGGAUUUCCUGUUAACUGUGGAUGAAAGCAUUUCUCCCUGAUACACCCAUUGCUGUUAAGGGCAAAUGCGUAUAUAUGGGAUUGUGCUUUGGAAGCUGGGAACCAACAGAAACAUUUCAGGUGACAUUUGCUCGUCAAUUAAAUAUGAAAUUAAUUUAAAAAAUAAAUAAGUAAAAAUAAAAAAAAU
Molecule: long non-coding RNA, 1996 nt
Filed under: Equus asinus (donkey)
Lineage: Eukaryota; Metazoa; Chordata; Mammalia; Perissodactyla; Equidae
Description: lncRNA (ENSEASG00005025712.1)
Source: RNAcentral